This 356-nucleotide ribosomal RNA is filed under the name uncultured bacterium. RNAcentral's name for it is "bacterial SSU rRNA". It matches the Rfam family "Bacterial small subunit ribosomal RNA", at positions 8 to 353 of the family's 1533-position model. The record is from RNAcentral.
AGAGUUUGAUCCUGGCUCAGGAUGAACGCUGGCGGCGUGCUUAACACAUGCAAGUCGAGGGGAAACGAUAUUGGAAGCUUGCUUCCGAUAGGCGUCGACCGGCGCACGGGUGAGUAACGCGUAUCCAACCUGCCCACCACUUGGGGAUAACCUUGCGAAAGUAAGACUAAUACCCAAUGAUAUCUCUAGAAGACAUCUGAAAGAGAUUAAAGAUUUAUCGGUGAUGGAUGGGGAUGCGUCUGAUUAGCUUGUUGGCGGGGUAACGGCCCACCAAGGCGACGAUCAGUAGGGGUUCUGAGAGGAAGGUCCCCCACAUUGGAACUGAGACACGGUCCAAACUCCUACGGGAGGCAGCA